UUAUUGUGUCAUUAUUAAUGUUAUAUAUUCGUUCAUAUUACUAAAGAUUUUUUUCUGAUAAGCCUUAUUUAUAAACGGCAGUCUUAUCCUUAUUACUUGACCAUAAGUUGAAAAACUUUAAAUGGAGUCAUGGAAAUUGGAAAGUCUUCCUUUCUCUACUUUAGCAUUUUUGUGUGGUCAACUCUCUCCGCCAUCAUGAUUCUUUGGCUCUUAUGUUCUUUAUUCUUGAAUUGUGAUAUUAAUUGCAUAUUACACUUCAUUUUUACAGGACUUGUUAUUUUCUUACAACAUUGCAGUGGAUAGAUCAAAUGAGAUGACAAAAGUGCUGGGCAAAUCUGCUGCAAGUGUUGGUCUACGCCUUCCUGAUGUUUAUCAGCUUUAAAAGUUUGAAGUACUGGUAUCAGGUCGAAACUGGAAGGUGAUAUCACUGAUAGCCUAGAACAACUUCCGUUCAUAUCUCUUUAGGGUAGCACUUCGUAGAUGCAUCCUAUGCUGGAUAGAAUUGUCCAUUGUUUUUGGUUCGAUGAACAGCAAACCAGGAGAGACAAUCAGAAUAAUGAAGAAUCUUCGCGUUUGUUAAGACUGAAAGUAAUAUCAGAAACUGUCAAGUGAGAAACAGUUGUUUGUGAUAGGAAUAGGUUUAAUUGUUUUAAAGAUGGCUUUUGUUCUUGUAAGAACCUUUUGUAUACUACAGUAUAUGGAAACUCAUUAGUUCA
Molecule: long non-coding RNA, 716 nt
Organism: Lycium barbarum (goji berry)
Lineage: Eukaryota; Viridiplantae; Streptophyta; Magnoliopsida; Solanales; Solanaceae
Exons: 2
Source: RefSeq, a predicted model, not a curated record